UGGGGAAUUUUGGACAAUGGGCGAAAGCCUGAUCCAGCAAUGCCGCGUGUGUGAAGAAGGCCUUCGGGUUGUAAAGCACUUUUGUCCGGAAAGAAAUCCUUGGCUCUAAUACAGUCGGGGGAUGACGGUACCGGAAGAAUAAGCACCGGCUAACUACGUGCCAGCAGCCGCGGUAAUACGUAGGGUGCAAGCGUUAAUCGGAAUUACUGGGCGUAAAGCGUGCGCAGGCGGUUUGCUAAGACCGAUGUGAAAUCCCCGGGCUCAACCUGGGAACUGCAUUGGUGACUGGCAGGCUAGAGUAUGGCAGAGGGGGGUAGAAUUCCACGUGUAGCAGUGAAAUGCGUAGAGAUGUGGAGGAAUACCGAUGGCGAAGGCAGCCCCCUGGGCCAGUACUGACGCUCAUGCACGAAAGCGUGGGGAGCAAACAGGAUUAGAUACCCUGGUAGUCCACGCCCUAAACGAUGUCAACUAGUUGUUGGGGAUUCAUUUCCUAGUAACGUAGCUAACGCGUGAAGUUGACCGCCUGGGGAGUACGGUCGCAAGAUU
RNAcentral lists this ribosomal RNA (546 nucleotides) under uncultured bacterium. RNAcentral describes it as "partial 16S ribosomal RNA". It matches the Rfam family "Bacterial small subunit ribosomal RNA", at positions 355 to 895 of the family's 1533-position model. The record is from RNAcentral.